This 2171-nucleotide ribosomal RNA is filed under the name Hymenobacter miniatus. Its description in RNAcentral is "Hymenobacter sp. BT523 partial 23S ribosomal RNA". It matches the Rfam family "Bacterial large subunit ribosomal RNA", at positions 753 to 2925 of the family's 2925-position model. The record is from RNAcentral. Lineage: Bacteria; Pseudomonadati; Bacteroidota; Cytophagia; Cytophagales; Hymenobacteraceae.
GCCGUAACAGGCACUGGAGGACCGAACCAGUUUCCGUUGAAAAGGAUUUGGAUGACUUGAGGGUAGGGGUGAAAGGCCAAUCAAACUGAGAAAUAGCUCGUACUCCCCGAAAUGUAUUGAGGUACAGCGUCGGCGUCGAGGUCAGUGGAGGUAGAGCUACCAAUAGGACUAGGGGGUGUCAGAGCCUACCGAAUCCUGAUGAACUCCGAAUGCCACUGGCUAUAGCCGGCAGUGAGGCCUGGGGUGCUAAGGUCCCCGGCCGAGAGGGAAAGAACCCAGACCAACCGCUAAGGUCCCCAAAUCUAGAUUAAGUUGAACAAAGGAGGUCCAGUUGCUUUGACAGCCAGGAGGUUGGCUUGGAAGCAGCCAUUCCUUUAAAGAGUGCGUAACAGCUCACUGGUCGAGCGACCGGGCAUCGAUAAUACGCGGGCAUCAAAUCUAGUACCGAAGCGUUGGAUGUGAUGUGCAAGACCAUCACGUGGUAGGGGAGCAUUCUCCUUGCGGUGAAGCCGCGUCGUCAGGCGCGGUGGAGCGUGGAGAAAAGCAUAUGUAGGCAUGAGUAACGAUAAUGCGGGUGAGAAACCCGCACGCCGAUAGACUAAGGUUUCCAGCUCAACGCUAAUCGGAGCUGGGUUAGUCGGGACCUAAGGGGCAGCCGAAGGGUGAACUCGAUGGACAGCAGGUUAAUAUUCCUGCACCGAUGAAUGCAAGUGAUGCAGUGACGCAGAAGUGAAAGCACCGCGGGCGGACGGAAGUGCCCGUUGAAGGCCGUAGGUAGUGGGACCGUAGUUAAGUACGCGGACCUAGCCGAACGCUGAUAGUACCGCACGACCUUCGGGUCACGCGGAUAGUGUGCCUAAUCCGACUGCCAAGAAAACCUGCUAAGCGUUUUAACGCAUUUAUCGCCCGUACCGCAAACCGACACAGGUAGUCAAGGAGAGCAUCCUGAGGCGCUCGAGUGAAUCACGGCCAAGGAACUCGGCAAAAUGGACCUGUAACUUCGGGAGAAGGGUCGCUUCCUCUGCGCAAGCAGAGAAGCCGCAGUGAAAAGGCCCAGGCGACUGUUUAACAAAAACACAUGGCUUUGCUAACGCGCAAGCGGACGUAUAAGGCCUGACACCUGCCCGGUGCCGGAAGGUUAAGAGGGGACGUUAGCCGCAAGGCGAAGCGUUGAAUCGAAGCCCCGGUAAACGGCGGCCGUAACUAUAACGGUCCUAAGGUAGCGAAAUUCCUUGUCGGGUAAGUUCCGACCUGCACGAAUGGUGUAACGAUCUGGGCGCUGUCUCAGCCGUGAGCUCGGUGAAAUUGUAGUCUCGGUGAAGAUGCCGAGUACCCGCCACGGGACGGAAAGACCCCGUGCACCUUUACUAUAGGUUGCCAUUGGUGGUGGGUUCAGUAUGUGUAGCAUAGGCGGGAGGCGCUGAGCCGGGGACGCUAGUUCUCGGGGAGCCGACGUUGAAAUACCGCCCUUACUGUGCCUGCUGCCUAAUCCCGGACGACCGGGAGACAGUGGCUGCUGGGUAGUUUGACUGGGGUGGUCGCCUCCAAAAGAGUAUCGGAGGCUUUCAAAGGUCCGCUCAGUCCGCUUGGUAACCGGACGCAGAGCGCAAUAGCAGAAGCGGGCUUGACUGUGAGGCCGACCAGCCGAGCAGGGUCGAAAGACGGAUAUAGUGAUCCGGUGGUUCCGCAUGGAAGGGCCAUCGCUCAAAGGAUAAAAGGUACGCCGGGGAUAACAGGCUGAUCUCCCCCAAGAGCUCAUAUCGACGGGGAGGUUUGGCACCUCGAUGUCGGCUCGUCACGUCCUGGGGCUGGAGAAGGUCCCAAGGGUUCGGCUGUUCGCCGAUUAAAGUGGCACGCGAGCUGGGUUCAGAACGUCGUGAGACAGUUCGGUCCCUAUCUGUGGUGGGCGUUGGAAAUUUGACAGGACCUGUCCUUAGUACGAGAGGACCGGGAUGGACCAGCCGCUGGUGCGCCGGUUGUACCGCCAGGUGCAGCGCCGGGUAGCUACGCUGGGACGAGAUAAGCGCUGAAAGCAUCUAAGUGCGAAACUCCCCUGGAGAUGAGAUUUCCCAAUAUGAAGGCCCGUCGGAGAUGACGACGUGGAUAGGCGGCAGGUGAACCAGCAGAAAUGCAAUAGCUGAGCCGUACUAAGUGGCCGAGGGCUUCGCGUA